RNAcentral lists this long non-coding RNA (976 nucleotides) under Phoenix dactylifera (date palm). Its description in RNAcentral is "long non-coding RNA (PDAC_LNC014222)". The record is from RNAcentral. Lineage: Eukaryota; Viridiplantae; Streptophyta; Magnoliopsida; Arecales; Arecaceae.
CCGUCUUCAUCUCAGCCAACGGCAGCAACUCCGAAUUCCCUGCAUCCUUCCUCCCGAACUAAUCCAGCAUUUUUUCGGAUGGACCCCAGCCUCCAAGAUCCUCUCAAAUGCCCGCGUCUCGCAUCACUCCCCUGUUCCGAGAUCCAUCUUUAUCCAAGCAACCACCGCAACCCAGGAAAUCACGCGGCCAUGCAACUCCCCUCCACGAUAAACUCCCACUCAUGCUCUCCCCUGCAUCUCGGAUUACAAGCUUAUCCCCUAUUCCCAGUUCAUUCCCAGCCGAAUGCAGCCACCCCCUCGCGGACUCAAACCAACUGCUGGAUCCCCUGAGAACAUAGUUUAUCGCUUCAUUCCUUCCGCGUUCAAAGCUCAUUUCCUCUCAUCCCCAGCAUCCACGUAAGCUCUAAAUCCCAGCUCGUAUCCAGCCUCACAUCCAUGUUGAUCCGAUAUUCAUCUCAGCCAUGAAUAGCACCCCAACGUCUUCCGGAUCAUCAUCAUUCAAGCAUUCCCUUCCGCAUUGUUCUCCCAGCAAAACAAUAUCAUCUCCCAGCCGUCCCAGAUCCCGUUCAGAAUCCAAACUCCCACGUCUCCGUAUUCAUCCUCAUCCUCUCGAAUCAUCUGAUCAAGCUUCAUCUCCCAGCUCAUCUUAUCUUCAGCUUCGGAUCAGCGCCAUCCUCCUAGCAGUACAGCCUUGCAUCCGCUCCCAAGCUUGAUCCGAGUUCCUCCCGAGCUUCACGGCAUCCAACUGCAUCCUCCCCUGUUUCAAACAGAGUUAUCAUCCUGUUAGCAUCCCAAAUCUCCCAACUGUUUCCAUUCAGCAACAUCCCAUGCAUCCGAGAUCUUCUCAGCUUGCACCUUCAUCCCCUGCUUCGGAAUAAAGAAAUCCAACGCCAACCGUACGCAUCUUCCUCCGCUAAGAUCCCAGCCUUCCUGUUCUUAUCCACGGACAAGUUCACAAGUGAUCCUAUCAACACCA